AACGCUAGCUACAGGCUUAACACAUGCAAGUCGAGGGGAAACGACAUCGAAAGCUUGCUUUUGAUGGGCGUCGACCGGCGCACGGGUGAGUAACGCGUAUCCAACCUGCCCACCACUUGGGGAUAACCUUGCGAAAGUAAGACUAAUACCCGAUGAUAUCCCUAGAAGACAUCUGAAAUGGAUUAAAGAUUUAUCGGUGAUGGAUGGGGAUGCGUCUGAUUAGCUUGUUGGCGGGGUAACGGCCCACCAAGGCAACGAUCAGUAGGGGUUCUGAGAGGAAGGUCCCCCACAUUGGAACUGAGACACGGUCCAAACUCCUACGGGAGGCAGCAGUGAGGAAUAUUGGUCAAUGGGCGAGAGCCUGAACCAGCCAAGUAGCGUGCAGGAUGACGGCCCUAUGGGUUGUAAACUGCUUUUAUAAGGGAAUAAAGUGAGUCUCGUGAGACUUUUUGCAUGUACCUUAUGAAUAAGGACCGGCUAAUUCCGUGCCAGCAGCCGCGGUAAUACGGAAGGUCCGGGCGUUAUCCGGAUUUAUUGGGUUUAAAGGGAGCGUAGGCCGGAGAUUAAGCGUGUUGUGAAAUGUAGACGCUCAACGUCUGCACUGCAGCGCGAACUGGUUUCCUUGAGUACGCACAAAGUGGGCGGAAUUCGUGGUGUAGCGGUGAAAUGCUUAGAUAUCACGAAGAACUCCGAUUG
This 696-nucleotide ribosomal RNA is filed under the name uncultured bacterium. Its description in RNAcentral is "bacterial SSU rRNA". It matches the Rfam family "Bacterial small subunit ribosomal RNA", at positions 32 to 715 of the family's 1533-position model. The record is from RNAcentral.